AUCCUUCCUGUAACGAUGACAUAAUGGAGAAGAAAAGGGAAGCCCAGCAUGCUGGCGCUGAGGGUGGGAAGGAGGGAGGCUCAGCUCAGAGGCUCAGCAAAAGGUAAAUGAUCAAUUAACCCUCAAGUGUUUCCAUCACUGUGAGCCACUGCGUGCGUGACUCUUCUGGAGAGCAGAGCUCUGGGGAGUUCAGUCAUCUCAGCAGAAGGGAAUCUGGGCCUCCCAGGAUUUUCUCACCUCCUUCGAAGCACGCCGCUGAUCGGCUCGCUCCUCCACCGGUGUGCAGAGCUCUCUCGAACGGUCUUGGAGGAGGUAGACGGUGUACAGAGGGAAAACAGAAAAUCGCAGAAGGAAAACCAGAGGAAAAGAAGUGGUUUAGUUCCUGGUUUGGGUUCUGCCGUGAUACAGCGUGAACCAGCUUGAGGGACGAACUCUCCGGCAAGCUGCCGACCUAGACCUCUGCUUAGUCCUGCACUUCCGGAAACUACGGCUUCGAGAGCGCGCAGAGCCCGCGCACAGGCUGGCUGCCCACACAGAGCCGGAAGUGGAGCUGGACCUCAUGAACCAGGAGACCAGGACCUGAGCUGAGAUCAAGAGUCAGAUGCUUAACCAACUGGGCCACCCAGAUGCUCCCAGAAGAGGAUUUGCUUUUAUAGACUUGAAGAAGCUGUGAACUCCUAAAAUUAAAAUCAACUGUGAUUUCUCAA
Suricata suricatta (meerkat) is the source of this 707-nucleotide long non-coding RNA. RefSeq lists it as uncharacterized. The transcript is spliced from 2 exons. The record is from RefSeq and is a predicted model, not a curated record. Lineage: Eukaryota; Metazoa; Chordata; Mammalia; Carnivora; Herpestidae.